RNAcentral lists this ribosomal RNA (352 nucleotides) under uncultured bacterium. RNAcentral describes it as "bacterial SSU rRNA". It matches the Rfam family "Bacterial small subunit ribosomal RNA", at positions 527 to 881 of the family's 1533-position model. The record is from RNAcentral.
GGAGGAUGCGAGCGUUAUCCGGAUUUAUUGGGUUUAAAGGGAGCGCAGACGGGGGAUUAAGUCAGUUGUGAAAGUUUGCGGCUCAACCGUAAAAUUGCAGUUGAUACUGGUUCCCUUGAGUGCAGUUGAGGCAGGCGGAAUUCGUGGUGUAGCGGUGAAAUGCAUAGAUAUCACGAAGAACUCCGAUUGCGAAGGCAGUGCACCAAGCUGUAACUGACAUUGAUGCUCGAAAGUGUGGGUAUCAAACAGGAUUAGAUACCCUGGUAGUCCACACGGUAAACGAUGAAUACUCGCUGUUGGCGAUACAAUGUCAGCGGCCAAGCGAAAGCAUUAAGUAUUCCACCUGGGGAGU